Molecule: small RNA, 508 nt
Filed under: Pan troglodytes (chimpanzee)
Lineage: Eukaryota; Metazoa; Chordata; Mammalia; Primates; Hominidae
Description: processed transcript
Source: RNAcentral
UCCCGCGCCGCUCCCGAGCCCCUGCAGCUUCGGCGUCCCCGGGGCCGUGAGGCGCGCGCCGUGACGCCUGGGGUCUGUAGGCCUGUGAAGAACUGGACUAGGUGAGAAGAAGAAGCUUUUGACCCAUGUCACUCCCUGGCCCAGAACUAUAUCCUACCCACAGUCCCUGAAGAGGAAGGAGAAGGAAUAUGAGCAUGAAAUGGAGCGGCUGGCACGUGAGAAGAUUGCCACGCAGCAGCGGCUGGCAGAGCUCAAGCACGAGCUGAGCCAGUGGAUGGACGUACUGGAGAUUGACCGUGUGCUGCGGCAGACGGGCCAGCCCGAGGAUGACCAGGCCUCCACCUCCACCGCCUCUGAGGGUGAGGACAACAUAGACGAGCAUAUGGAGGAGGACCGGGCGGGCCUGGGCCCACCUAAGCUGAGCCAUCGUCCCCAGCCGGAGCUGCUGAAGUCCACCCUGCCACCCCCCAGCACCACCCCUGCGCCUCUGCCUCCACACCCACACCCU